GGGCCCGACGGGAGACGGAAUGGCGGCGGGCGGGAAGUUGUGUGAGGGGAGCUGCCCCUAAGGCCAGAGAAUGAAGAUAUUGACUAUUUAGUGAAUGAUAGAACUGCUUACCUCGCUAUAAAUGAUCAUAAAGGUCCUUAGUUGUCCCCCCCUUAGCUGGGGGCCACAGGGUUAGAUGUGAAAUGAAAUCUAACAAAUGAGUGUUUGUAUGUGCUUGAUACCCUUCUUACGGGAUGGGGUUUGUGGAACAAACUGGGAGCUGGGAUCUAAGCUUUGAUUAGAAUAAGGAUUAGAUACACAUCGCGCAAGGUAAUCCUGGCAGGUACCAAUAUGUGCAUGGGAAAGCCCAAUAACAAAGACCCAGCAAUGUUGUAUGGUGCUUCCCAAGGGCUCAAGAACAGCCCUACAACAUCUGGUAAUGUACUGGAUAAAGAAUGGAGCAAUUGCAAGGAAAGAAAUGGACAAUUGCUUUACUACUAGGGCAGAGAGUUGCCAUUUAUGUACCACGGGUUGUCAUAGCUCUUAUGGAAUAAAAGGGACAUCACUGCCCCCCAGUAGAAUGGUACUGCUUGAGCAAGAUGGCAUGACAUUAAAAAAUGCCAAGUGUUUUAAAUCCUGCCUAUAAAUGAGGAAGAUGAGAUUGUUUGCAAGAAGCUGAAUGGUUCCAGACAGACAGAUCUAAGUGAUAGCCCUCUGGAAAGUCCUGUCUGGGAGCUACUCACUGAUGGAAUCAGCUUUGUUCUUAAAGGGGAACAGAAAGCUGGAUACGCAAUUAUAGCCUUGGAAGAAGAUAGAUAUCUUAAAUGUUAAGACUCCUGUUUAUAAGAAAAGAAGGUAAGUUUGGUGAGCUGUUAAAUUGUACUGAAACUACUGAAGAAUAACAGGUAACACCUGAUGAACAGUAUGUAAUUACCCCUCCAGUAGUGAAAGAAUUAACAGAAAGAGCAUGCAAGAGCAUUCAUCUGCAAGUGUGUAUAUACUAGGUACUGUAUUGGAGGAGCACAAGCAUAUGUGGUAGGAAGCAUCAUUGUUAUUGGUUGCCAAAAUGUUGUUCAAAUAAAUGUCAAGUGGUCAGGUAGAAAGAAUGAAUCAAAUAUUAAAAAGACAAUUUCAGUAGUUAUGUCAAGAAGCGCAUUUGAAAUGAGUUGGCAUUGCUGAGAGCUCAAAUAGCCCGCAGCAUGAUGGAAGGAGCUAAUCCUUUUGAAAUCUUACACAGAAAAUAAUAAUACUAUAAAUUUCAGAUCAGAUGCAUGUAGCUGGUUGUCAAAUACUUACUGAAUAUGUCUUUUCUUUGGCAAGGGUCUUUUUCUUCCCUUCUCAGGCACAUGCAAUUAGGAACUCCUGGACAUGCCCACACCUUCCUCAAACCAUGGGACCAAGUGUAUCUCCAAACCUAUGUCUGAGAAGUGAAAAGAACCUCAUCUGAUACUCCUAACAACAGACACUGCGGUAAAAGUAAGGGGAUUGAGUCUUGGGUUCAUUACACCAAGACAAAAACAGGUCCGUGUGAGAAGUGGAGAGGUGAAGAAGUCAAUUUCCUAGAGCUAAAAAUCAAGAGAAAUGCAUGAACUGCACCUGGAAUGAAUCGGUAGCUUAUUUAGGACUGGGUUGUACUCUUGGAACUCUUUGCUUUUGUAAUUUUGAUUUUACUCGUUUUACAUUUUUAACAAAUGUAUUGUUGGUAAUUUUAGCCUCUGUCUGUUUAUAUGUUGUGUUGCAGUGUAUAUCCAAGUGUUGCUUGAAGUCAGCGAACAAAACCUCAGAGAGAACGAGAUUAAUCUAAACUGCACUGUUAGGUGCAAAGGGGGAAACUGUAGCGAGUCAAGUGGGAAUUAAUCUUUGUACAAGUCUUUAUAUGGGCAUCCUUCAGAUUCAGCAAAGACAACACGUAGUAAUACACAGAUUGAGUAACCAGUCAUAGAGCUGGAGGCUGUACUGGAAUAGUGGCCAAGUGAUAAGAAUGUGUAUAAAAGUGGGCUGAAGCCUGAGGGAUUUGUGUCCCAGCCCCAGGGAUGAAUAUCCCUGUAGCCUACAUGCUUGUGGCUGCCUCAGAUAGCUUUUGCUUCUCACAAUAUACACUGUUUCAAGUGCUUUUCUGUUUUCCUGUCUGCCUUCAAUAGGGCUUUUAGUUCUUUCCCUAGUAAGAGUGCAUUUCACAGCUCUUCCAUUUCCCUUGGCCUGGGAGAACAGCCAAGGGACUGCUCUCCAAGCUGUUGAGGCAUGCGAUGAAAUCCACCCUUAUAACCAGGCCCCUCUGGUUUUGGUUUACUGUGUUAACUUCUGCACUGACUGUUGAGCAUCUCUUUUGCUUCAGCUUGCUGCAGCUUCCUCAGUGUGGAACUCAUUCACCUGUAAAGUUUCUAACCCACUGAGGUUUGUAUGUCUAAGGAUCAACACAGGCUUGCAAUACACACAAGGACUGAGAGUGCUGCAGCCCUCAGGGCUGCAUUUCUGACUAUCAGCACUAGGUGUCGGGUGAUUAGAAUGACUAUCUUGAGAAGACCGGACAGAUUUUGACAAAAGAGUGAUGCAUUGAUGUACUUCAUUCUAGAAUCGAGUGUCAUCCAUGUGUAACCAUCUGCUUGGCUCCCAAUUGUCUGCUGUCCUCCCUUGGUUGUGGUGUCACAGCAGAACGUGCAGACAUGCUGCUUUGGGAUGUGCUCAGCUGCCAAAAUCUGGCAGGACAAUGAGAUUAUUUUUAUUCCUGUAAAGACGAGCUUCACUGAUGAGGUCAGCACCGUGCUGUUCAUCUGCCCAUCUUGUGGGUGCUGUAGCACACACACAACUGCCUGUGCCGUGUGGAUGUGUCUGCUGGGACCCAGCUCCUCCCAUCAUAAUUUCAGCCAUUUGGACAUUGCACUGUGGGUUCCCCUCUUCACCUCUCACCCUUAUAAUUGCUCACCUAAACAACAGGGUGUUGCUGCAGAUCACGAUUACUAGCUCUCACCGUAUCACCACAGGCGUUCUUUCUCCAUUCCUGUCGAGAAAUAAGAAGCAGCCUGCUGGGGAAAGCCAGAAUUAGGAGAAGUAAGAGUUCACCGAGCUGCAACAUGCUUUCAAAAUGUAUUGCAGUUUCUGGUAGGAAGAAGUAAUGCCCUGGAUCUGCAGAUCCAGGGGCCAAACAUAUGUGUGAAGACAAAUGGGAGUACAAGACGGUGCAAUGAAAGCAGCAAUUUUGUGGGCAAGAAAGAAUGCCCAGAGCUCAGAAGCAAGGAUGUUUUAGCCAGCGUCCAACCUUGAGAGAUGCGUUCCUCUGCUUUUGUGAAAUAAUCUGCAGAACAGGAGAAAUUGGCCUAGGAGGAAUCAGCUGAGCCAAGGGACAGGAUGGGCCAAGUGAGAGAUGUAGCAUGUACAGCGUGUCCAAAGAAUGCAGCACAAGAAGAAAGGUAUUUUGGUAGCACCACAAAGGGCUCACUUUGCUCUGCGAAUCAUUUGAGAGCUGUAUCCUGUGGCCAGGAUGUAACAUUUAACACAGGAAAGCCAUCUAUCUGCCUGGAGCUAACAACACGUUCCUGGAGGAGUCUGCUAUUUAAAAGAACAGGACACUACAACGGGAAGAAA
Molecule: non-coding RNA, 3561 nt
Organism: Coturnix japonica (Japanese quail)
Lineage: Eukaryota; Metazoa; Chordata; Aves; Galliformes; Phasianidae
Source: RefSeq, a predicted model, not a curated record